This 253-nucleotide ribosomal RNA is filed under the name uncultured microorganism. Its description in RNAcentral is "partial 16S ribosomal RNA". It matches the Rfam family "Bacterial small subunit ribosomal RNA", at positions 524 to 776 of the family's 1533-position model. The record is from RNAcentral.
UACGGAGGGGGCAAGCGUUGUUCGGAGUUACUGGGCGUAAAGCGCGCGUAGGCGGUGCGGUAAGUCAGGGGUUAAAGGCUGCAGCUCAACUGCAGUAAGGCCUUUGAUACUAUCGCGCUAGAGUACCAGAGAGGAUGGCGGAAUUCCCGGUGUAGCGGUGAAAUGCGUAGAUAUCGGGAGGAACGCCGGUGGCGAAGGCGGCUUCCUGGCCCGUUACUGACGCUGAGGCACGAAAGCCAGGGGAGCGAACCGG